RNAcentral lists this ribosomal RNA (508 nucleotides) under fungal sp. E14303C. RNAcentral's name for it is "eukaryotic LSU rRNA". The stretch from base 163 to 316 matches the Rfam family "5.8S ribosomal RNA". The record is from RNAcentral. Lineage: Eukaryota; Fungi.
UAAACAACUCCCAAACCCACUGUGAACAUACCCCACGUUGCCUCGGCAGGCGCCCGGCUCCGCGACCCCUCGGGGCUGCGGGGUGGCCCUGCCGGCGGCCCACGAAACUCUUGUCUAGCACUGAAUUCUGAGCCCGAGAGGGAUAAAAACAAAAUUAGUUAAAACUUUCAACAACGGAUCUCUUGGUUCUGGCAUCGAUGAAGAACGCAGCGAAAUGCGAUAAGUAAUGUGAAUUGCAGAAUUCAGUGAAUCAUCGAAUCUUUGAACGCACAUUGCGCCCGCCAGUAUUCUGGCGGGCAUGCCUGUCCGAGCGUCAUUUCAAACCCUCAAGCCUCGUUGCUUGGUGUUGGGAGCCUACGGCUGUAGCUCCUCAAAGUCAGUGGCGUGGGCUGGCUCGCACCCCAGAUGUAGUAGUUAUUUCUCUCACCUGUGGUCGGGCUAGUCCCCUGCCGUAAAACCCCCCAGACUUUUUAGUGUUUGACCUCGGAUCAGGUAGGGAUACCCGCUG